GCCGCCGCCGCCGGGGGAAGCUCAGCGGGCGGAGAGCGGGGAGGAAAUAUAAUGAAAGGAGGAAUAAUGCACUAAGGGGAAGGAGGCUGAUGGUCGCCCGGAGGCUCCGCACCUACAGAGAGUGAAGUCCUGUUGCAGUGCCGCUGCCUCUACCUACGCUGACUGAGCUUGUCAAUGGAGCUGGAAAAUAUCGUUGCCAACACCGUCUUGCUGAAAGCCAGGGAAGGGAGAAGCUUGCUUUGGCCCAAGCGGCGUUGUGGUGAUCUUCCCAGCAGCUCCUGUCUUCUUCCACCGUGGUGUACUUCUGCAAGAAGGGUAUAUUCUUUUUCUUUCCAAAGAAGGAAGCUGCAGCAUUUGGGCAGGAGCCAAAGGCUCAAUUCAGGCUGA
This 387-nucleotide long non-coding RNA is filed under the name Struthio camelus australis. Its description in RNAcentral is "lncRNA (ENSSCUG00000003413.1)". The record is from RNAcentral. Lineage: Eukaryota; Metazoa; Chordata; Aves; Struthioniformes; Struthionidae.